CCUACGGGUGGCAGCAGUGAGGAAUAUUGGUCAAUGGACGAAAGGCUGAACCAGCCAAGCCGCGUGAGGGAGGAAUGCGCUAAGUGUUGCAAACUUCUUUUACAGGGGGAUAAAAUGCUGCACGUGUGGGGUUCUGUAGGUACCCGGAGAAUAAGGAUCGGCUAACUCCGUGCCAGCAGCCGCGGUAAUACGGAGGAUCCGAGUGUUAUCCGGAUUUAUUGGGUUUAAAGGGAGCGUAGGUGGGUUGUUAAGUCAGUAGUGAAAGUUUGGGGCUCAACCGCACAAUUGCAGUUGAAACUGGCAGUCUGGAGUGCAGCAGAGGUAAGCGGAAUUCGUGGUGUAGCGGUGAAAUGCUUAGAUAUCACGAAGAACUCCGAUUGCGAAGGCAGCGUACUGGACUGCAACUGACGCUGAGGCUCGAAAGUGUGGGGAUCAAACAGGAUUAGAUACCCCUGUAGUC
RNAcentral lists this ribosomal RNA (460 nucleotides) under uncultured bacterium. RNAcentral's name for it is "partial 16S ribosomal RNA". It matches the Rfam family "Bacterial small subunit ribosomal RNA", at positions 338 to 795 of the family's 1533-position model. The record is from RNAcentral.